This is a long non-coding RNA of Ruditapes philippinarum (Manila clam), 2187 nucleotides long. RefSeq lists it as uncharacterized. The record is from RefSeq and is a predicted model, not a curated record. The transcript is spliced from 4 exons. Lineage: Eukaryota; Metazoa; Mollusca; Bivalvia; Venerida; Veneridae.
GAUGUGAGUAGCUUCCCUUUAUAUUUUGAACGUCAUUUGUAUCAUAAGAAACAUGUGAAACCUCAACCAGCAUAUAGCAGAUAUUUCAGAUAGUGGCACAUUACCUGAUAUAAGACAAUGUUGUUGCCCAAAUAACAUCAAAAUGUAGUUGUGAAAGAAACCAGGGUUUAGAAUACUUCAAACAUUCCAGAGCAAGAUGUGUACAGUGAGAAGUUUGGGAAGUUAAAGGGACAUAAAACUGAUAUAAAGGGACAUUAAAAGUGACUGAAGAUUUGGUGUGGCGUUGUUUUCAUGUCAAGUCUGAAGUUCAAGUGCCGCCAUUUUGUCUUGUUGACCAUUGUGAAAAGAGAUGCUUGCGCUGAUAUCCGAUGAAGAUAAUGGUAUUGAAGGCAGAGACGGGGACGUUUGUUUUCAUUUCAUAAAACAAAUGAUAUUCAGCAGACGGAAAAUGGAUGGGAUUUGCCAAUGUCGGUUUUGAUAGCAAGAUGGAUGACCGAUCUUACUGUUGCACUUUCAUUUAUCCGCCGACUUCAAUAUGUUGCGAUAGGGACGAGAUACUACAAUCACUAACGCAACAAAGAGCCGGCUAAGAUAACAUGCUAACUGAUAAAUAGCCAUAAUGCACUGUUAAACGUGGUAUAAGCCGGUAAAGUGGUUAUUUAAUACUGAUAUCAGCUACUGAUAAUAUUGAAUAUCGGUGGAUCGAAAGAUAAAAAAAAAUUUCAGUUUUUUUUUUUUUUCGCUGAGUGCUUUCAAAAUAUUUGUCUUUGUAAUUAAGAGUGGAAAAAGAUUUUUUUUUGUUGAAUUUGUUCACUAAUUAGCUAACAUGACAAUUUGUUUUAAAAAAAAGAAUUGAACGAAGUCUAAAAACGUUUUUAGAUAAUAGUCGGCUGUGUCGCUUUUGUGCAGUUUAGGAGAGAUGAUGUCUAAAAUAACAAUAAAACCACUAGAGUAAUAAUUGUUGAAAGGAAUUUUUUCUCCGGCUUUUGAAAAUGACAGAGAAUUAACAAACAUGGAAACGUUGAAUGUUUACAAAAGAACAAGGACUUUAUAAUGAAUUGAAAACUGCAAUUUACAUAUUUUCUCGGGCAAUUUUGAAUUAUCUUUUUUAUUUUUAAUUGAAGUGAAAUUCAGCAAUAUUACAUGAUUGCACUCUUAAUUCACUUUUAAAUAGAAAGAUAAACUGUAAUUAAAUUUAAAUUACUGAAAUUAAGUAUUUGAAGUAUAUACAAUUAAGGAGAAACUUUCAAUAUUGUAUAUCAGUUGAAUAUAUCAUUGUAGAUGGCAAUUAUGUUUAAAUUUAGCCACUUAUUCUUUCAUAAAGCUUUGAUGUAAUGUUAAUUGCAUUGAAACUGAUCUCGCAAGAUUUUAAUUUCGUAUUUUGAACGGAGGAGUUAUACUUCUGAGACGCAAAUCUGUACAUGAUUGAUCCUUGAAAGAAAUGAUGCAACCUUCUUUGUAUGAAACCGAUUGUGAAAGAAAUUAAUGUACGAAACAAAAUCUUUCUGUUGCGGAAAUGUUGGGGUUAAAUAUGUAAUUCAAAGAACCUUGUUUCUUAAAGCGUAACAUGAAAAGACAAGAUAAAUGUACAUUUCCCUUAGAAAAUUAUUCACAAAAGAGACACAGAUCUUUCUAUCAGUUUUAUUGAUAUGCAAAUCAAUGUAAGCAAAACAGUAUUUUACUAUGUCUUACAAAUUUCCUGUAGAAAAAAACCCUGUAAUUAUUUGUCUACAAAACGUACCAAAAAUCGGCUCAAUGCUCAUUUGUCUAAGAGCGGGAAACUGACGUCUGCUGCAAUUGAGAGGCUCAGUGAAAAGCUUUUAUACGAAAAUCAGAUACGACUGGAUAAUCUGACUCGGCUAUUGUAUAAACGUGUGGACAAUCAUUCUUGUUGUAUCAGAUAUAGGGUUAAUGUAGAUGUCACAGGUUUACUUCGACGACAAUGACGAUGAUCACAGUGUCGGUAAUGACAUAGACAAUAAUAAUUUGAUUAAUUUACACGACUGAUGUCACAUCUCACCAUGCAAAGACAAAAGGAGUAAUUGGCGUGCUGAAUAAUUUCAACGCAAAAAAUUGAUUCAAGAUUAAUCUGAGAAAUAAGGUUCAUUUUGUAUAAAACUGAAGUUAGAAAAUAAUAGAUAAAUGUAUAUUAUAUAUAUGAAAAAUAAAUGAAGAAAGAAAAAGAUA